This 253-nucleotide ribosomal RNA is filed under the name uncultured bacterium. RNAcentral's name for it is "partial 16S ribosomal RNA". It matches the Rfam family "Bacterial small subunit ribosomal RNA", at positions 524 to 776 of the family's 1533-position model. The record is from RNAcentral.
GACAGAGGGGGCAAGCGUUGCUCGGAAUCACUGGGCGUAAAGGGCGCGUAGGCGGGAUGGCAAGUCGGUCGUGAAAUCCUUCGGCUCAACCGAAGAACGUCGGCCGAUACUGCCGUUCUUGAGGGAUGCAGAGGAGAUUGGAAUUCCCGGUGUAGCGGUGAAAUGUGUAGAUAUCAGGAGGAACACCGGUGGCGAAGGCGGCCCUCUGGACGGUGACUGACGCUGAGACGCGAAAGCGUGGGGAGCAAACAGG